Molecule: long non-coding RNA, 360 nt
Filed under: Phoenix dactylifera (date palm)
Lineage: Eukaryota; Viridiplantae; Streptophyta; Magnoliopsida; Arecales; Arecaceae
Description: long non-coding RNA (PDAC_LNC013431)
Source: RNAcentral
CUUUCAAUUAAUUUCGUGGGUGUGUGUAGGCCAUUUGUUAUGACAUUCCAUAACUCAUAGUUUUGUGAUUGAGUAAAGAUUUUCAUUCUAGCUUUCCAUUGAAUAUAGUUAGAUCCAUCAAACAGUGGAGGUCUGUUUGUGGAAAGUCCCUCAGCAAGUAAUACGUUAUGUGGGGUUGUCAUGAUCUUUGGCUCUAGUCGGUUAAGACUACAAAUAAUAUUUGAGCACCUGCUCUGAUACCACUUGUUGCCCAGUAGAUACAACCCAAGAGGGGGGGUGAAUUGGGUCUUUUAAAACUUUUAGACUACUUCUAAAACUUUUCAAUUAAUUAUGCUAAGUUGUAUAGAUGCACAGUGAAGU